Molecule: long non-coding RNA, 3374 nt
Organism: Phyllopteryx taeniolatus (common seadragon)
Lineage: Eukaryota; Metazoa; Chordata; Actinopteri; Syngnathiformes; Syngnathidae
Exons: 3
Source: RefSeq, a predicted model, not a curated record
GGUUGGCCAGACAGAGGGAUAGAGAUGGGAAAGAUGUGCAGCACGUUAUGGUGAUUAAGGAUAGAGAUAGAAAUAUGUUGACUGGUGCCAGUAGUGUGCUAGAUAGAUGGAUAUUCUCUCCUAGAUGCUUCCAUACCAACAAUUCAAAAGGUGGAGGCAUGCACUGGAAAGGAGAGGAAUGAAAUGUAAGACUGUAUAUCUUGGGUAGAGGGGCAAGAGUGAGGCUACUGGGAGAAGAGAGAGCAAGGGUGGAGGACUUUAAAUACUUGGGGUUAAUAAUCCAGAGCAAUGUUGAGUGUGGUAAGGAAGAGAAGAAAUGGGUCAAAGCAGGUUAGAAUGGGUGAGGAAGAUGUCAGGUGUGUUGUGUGACAGAAGAGUCUCUGCUAGGAUGAAGGGCAAAGUUUAUAAAACAGUGGUGAGGCCAGCCAUGAUGUACGGAUUAGAGACAGUGGCACUGAAGAGACAACAGGAAGCAGAGCUGGAGGUGGCGGAAAUUAAGAUGUUAAGGUUUUCUCUGGGAGUGGCCAGGUUGUAUAGGAUUAGAAGUGAGCUCAUCAGAGGGACGGCCAAGGUUAGAUGUUUUGGAGACAAAGUUAGAGAGAGCAGACUUCGAUGGUUUGGACACGUCCAGAGGAGAGAAACUGAGUAUAUUGGUAGAAGGAUGAUGAUGAUGGAGCUGCCAGGCAAGAGAGCUAGAGGAAGACCAAAGAGAAGGUCGAUGGAUGUCGUGAGGGAAGACAUGAGGGCAGUUGGUGUUCGAGAGGAGGAUGCAGGAGAUAGGCUUACAUGGGAAAGGAUGACGCGCUGUGGCGACGCCUAAAGGGACAAGCCGAAAGGAAAAGAAGAAGUCUUGUCUCAUGUUGAUCUACAGGGCAUAAUGAUCAUGAUAAUGAUUUAGGCUGGGUCCUAAAAUAUAAAAAAAUAACCAUCCAAUAUUUUUUGAUAACGCUUAUUUUGUUCAGGGUCACGGGGAGCUGGAGCCUAUCCCAACAAACUUCGGGCGAAAGGUGGACCCUCGACUGCUCGCCAGUCAUUUAGACUAGAGGGCACUUAUAUAGAGAGAGACAACCGUUCACUCUUGCAUUCACCUCAUCACUGAGUGGGAGUUGAACCCAUGUUGCCUACACAGAAGUCCAUCCAUCCAUCCAUUUUCAGAGCCGCUUCUCCUCACUAAGGUCGCGGGCGUGCUGGAGCCUAUCCCAGCUAUCAUCGGGAAACCGGAGUGCCCGGAGAAAACCCACGCAGGCACAGGGAGAACAUGCAAACUCCACACAGGCGGGUCCGGGGAUUGAACCCUGCUCCUCAGAACUGUGAGGCAGACGCUCUAACCAGUCGACCACCGUGCCGCCCUACACAGAAGUGAGGUUAGGACAUUUACUGUAUGACUGGCUGCCUGCCUAUCACCUGGCUCUGCCUGCCUUCCUUUAUCUACAUCCUAACUACGCUGUCACUGCCCUCUUGAAGGUUGGUUAACACACACAAACAUGCGCAUGCACACGCACGCACACACACACACACGUUUCCGUGGCAAAUACAUAUUUCCUUAUGGAACCAUCCGCUGAAACUUUAUAUUUUGACCUAUGCAAUUAUGACCUCAGUAUUUCUAAAACCCGUGUUACAGCACUGCUUAUACGUGUUGUUGUUUUUAAUGUACAAAAUCUUUAAUUCUCCUUGUUUUAUGUCUAAUUUGACAAUAAACUUCAACUGGGAGUGGUAUUCAGCAGCUUGAAGCCUCUUUUUUGAAGAAUUGUUUAUUUGCCAACAUGCUGCUUGUUUUGAAGUGGGGUGAAUUGAGUUUACUGCCACCAUACAGCGCUCGUAUCUAAAAUUUUUGCUCGCAAGUCACGGCAAAAAAUAAAUUCAUUAAAAAAUGUGUCGAACAACUGCUCGUAUCUCCAAAAACCUGUAAGUCGGGUCACUCGUAUCUCAAGACACCACUGCACUUCCUUUCCUCCUGAAACGACCACGUAUACUAGUCAUGAUCAUGCUGAAACUACUCAAAUCAACUAAAUACUAUCUAUUUUAUUCAUAUCAGUUAUCAACCACCUUCUGGCCACUUUGGCCCUCUCUCUGACCUUCUUUUCUCUCACUCUCUACCCUCUCAAAUACACACGCAGGCACAUCCACGCGCACACACACGCGCGUGUGUGUGUGCAAACACACGCACACUACUCUGAUGUCUGCAGUACAAAGUAGAAUCCAGUGGGGUCUGAUGAAUAAUUAAACCUUGUGUCGUAGCAUAAGACCAAUGUCUCGCCUGACUUAAGAGCACUCGGAUGUGCCUCUCUACUUUCCACUUCAUGAGAGUAGCAAUCUGGUCAACAGUCUGAUAAGGAACUAGAAAGUCAAAUGGACCUAACUAUAGUAACUUCUGGAGAAAUAGCAAGAAAAAUAACUUCAUAGGAUAAUUUUACUGCGGUGGAUCACUGGUUUGGAAAAACAAAACAAACAAAAAACAAACAAACAAACAAGCUCAAUUGUCUGCAAUGUCCUUCAGUCUCAUUAAGAUCUCAUGUGGCUACUGUAACUUACUUUACUAAGUGCCCAUCAGUGUUCUGCCAAGAAAUUUGUAGUAUUUUAUAACAUGUCUGUUUUCAAAGAAUAUCUACAAACCUCAAUUCCAAUGAAGUUAGGACAUUGUGUAAAAUGUAAAUAGAAAACAGAAUACAAUGAUUUGCAAUUUUAUUUCAAUCUAUAUUCUAUUAAACACACUAGAAAGACAAGAUAUUUAUUGCUCAAACUGAUAAACUUUUUUUUUUUUGCAAAUAUUCACUAAUUUUGAAUUUUAUGCCUGCAACACGUUCCAAAAAAGCUGGGACAGGGUGAUGUCUUCCACAGUGUUACAUCACCUUUUCUUUUAACAACACUCAAUAAGCGUUUGUGAACUGAGGACACUAAUUGUUGACGCUUUGUGUGUGUGGAAUUCUUUCCCAUUCUUGCUUGAUGUACAGUUUAAGUUGCUCAACAGUCAGGGGUCUCCCUUGUCAUAUUUUGCCCUUCAUAAUGUGCCACACAUUUUCAAUGGGAGACCCUGGUGGACUGCUGGCAGGCCAGCCUUGUAACCGCACUCUUUUAAUAUGAAGCCAUGCUGUCAUAACACAUGCUCUUGUCAGACCACAGCACACUUUUCCACUUCGCGUCUGAGAUGAACUCAGGCCCAGAGAAGGUGGCCGGUGGCCUUUCUGGGUGUUGUUGAUAUAUGACUUUCGCUUUGCAUGGUCAAGUUUUAACUUACAUUUCUAGAUGGAGCGAUGCACUGUGUUACAGUAACUGACAAUGGUUUUCUGAAGUGUGCAAUAUCCUUUACACAAUGAUGAUGGUUUUUAAUGCAGUGCCACCUGAGGGAUCGAAGGUCGCAGGCAUUCAAUGUUGGU